RNAcentral lists this ribosomal RNA (253 nucleotides) under uncultured bacterium. RNAcentral's name for it is "partial 16S ribosomal RNA". It matches the Rfam family "Bacterial small subunit ribosomal RNA", at positions 524 to 776 of the family's 1533-position model. The record is from RNAcentral.
UACGUAGGGGGCAAGCGUUAUCCGGAUUUACUGGGUGUAAAGGGAGCGCAGACGGCAGUGCAAGUCUGGAGUGAAAGCCCGGGGCCCAACCCCGGAACUGCUCUGGGAACUGUGCGGCUAGAGUACUGGAGGGGCAGGCGGAAUUCCUAGUGUAGCGGUGAAAUGCGUAGAUAUUAGGAGGAACACUAGUGGCGAAGGCGGCCUGCUGGACAGUAACUGACGUUGAGGCUCGAAAGCGUGGGGAGCAAACAGG